RNAcentral lists this ribosomal RNA (898 nucleotides) under Salmonella enterica subsp. enterica serovar Senftenberg. RNAcentral describes it as "bacterial LSU rRNA". It matches the Rfam family "Bacterial large subunit ribosomal RNA", at positions 1 to 933 of the family's 2925-position model. Lineage: Bacteria; Pseudomonadati; Pseudomonadota; Gammaproteobacteria; Enterobacterales; Enterobacteriaceae. The record is from RNAcentral.
GGGUUGUGAGGUUAAGCGACUAAGCGUACACGGUGGAUGCCCUGGCAGUCAGAGGCGAUGAAGGGCGUGCUAAUCUGCGAUAAGCGCCGGUAAGGUGAUAUGAACCGUUAUAACCGGCGAUACCCGAAUGGGGAAACCCAGUGUGAUUCGUCACACUAUCAUUAACUGAAUCCAUAGGUUAAUGAGGCGAACCGGGGGAACUGAAACAUCUAAGUACCCCGAGGAAAAGAAAUCAACCGAGAUUCCCCCAGUAGCGGCGAGCGAACGGGGAGGAGCCCAGAGCCUGAAUCAGCAUGUGUGUUAGUGGAAGCGUCUGGAAAGGCGCGCGAUACAGGGUGACAGCCCCGUACACAAAAGCGCAUAUGCUGUGAGCUCGAUGAGUAGGGCGGGACACGUGGUAUCCUGUCUGAAUAUGGGGGGACCAUCCUCCAAGGCUAAAUACUCCUGACUGACCGAUAGUGAACCAGUACCGUGAGGGAAAGGCGAAAAGAACCCCGGCGAGGGGAGUGAAAAAGAACCUGAAACCGUGUACGUACAAGCAGUGGGAGCACCCUUUGGGGUGUGACUGCGUACCUUUUGUAUAAUGGGUCAGCGACUUAUAUUCUGUAGCAAGGUUAACCGUAUAGGGGAGCCGCAGGGAAACCGAGUCUUAACCGGGCGUUAAGUUGCAGGGUAUAGACCCGAAACCCGGUGAUCUAGCCAUGGGCAGGUUGAAGGUUGGGUAACACUAACUGGAGGACCGAACCGACUAAUGUUGAAAAAUUAGCGGAUGAUCUGUGGCUGGGGGUGAAAGGCCAAUCAAACCGGGAGAUAGCUGGUUCUCCCCGAAAGCUAUUUAGGURGCGCCUCGUGAACUCAUCUCCGGGGGUAGAGCACUGUUUCGGCUAGGGGGCCAUCC